AUGAGGAGAGGUCCAAUAGGUCCAUGGUGGGGAUGGAGCAACGAGGCCAGAGACCCAGGCGGUGGAUGCCUCGUGGGUAGAGGAGAGGUUGACAAUACGGACAAGGAGCAGCGGUGUCACAUGGAUCUGCAGGGAGGCAUCUUCGAGGGAUGGCUGGUGUCAAUAUUUUUGUUGAUAUGCCCUACAUAUCGAGUUCAUCGUCCAAGCACCUUCCGCGGAAAGAAAGAAAAAGAUGAGUGGAGAAAGGAGACAAGGGAGUUCCAUUUUGUGAAGACAAUGGCGACAUGGUUGACUCAAGGACUAGUGGAAGAAGGCAUAUCUCAUAUAAUUUCUUUAUCUAAGAUAAGGCUACACUCUCCUAUGUAA
This 366-nucleotide ribosomal RNA is filed under the name Triticum aestivum (bread wheat). RNAcentral describes it as "partial small subunit ribosomal RNA". The record is from RNAcentral. Lineage: Eukaryota; Viridiplantae; Streptophyta; Magnoliopsida; Poales; Poaceae.